RNAcentral lists this ribosomal RNA (378 nucleotides) under uncultured eukaryote. Its description in RNAcentral is "partial 18S ribosomal RNA". It matches the Rfam family "Eukaryotic small subunit ribosomal RNA", at positions 592 to 976 of the family's 1831-position model. The record is from RNAcentral.
CAAUAGCGUAUAUUUAAGUUGUUGCAGUUAAAAAGCUCGUAGUUGGAUUUCGGGUGUGAACGACCGGUCCGUCUUUGAUGUGUACUGGUUGGUUGCGCCUUAUUGUCGAGGACGUGGUUCUAGCUUUCAUUAGCCGGGACACGGAGUCGGCAGCGUUACUUUGAGAAAAUUAGAGUGUUCAAAGCAGGCUAUCGCUCUGAAUACUACAGCAUGGAAUAACACGAUAGGACUCCGAGCCUAUUCUGUUGGUCUUCGGGACCGGAGUAAUGAUUAAGAGGGACGGUUGGGGGCAUUCGUAUUCCGAUGUCAGAGGUGAAAUUCUUGGAUUAUCGGAAGACGAGCAUCUGCGAAAGCAUUUGCCAAGGAUGUUUUCAUUAA